AUGAACGAGUCACUAUGUAGACCCUAUACCGAGGAGGAAAUCUCGGAUGCCUUGUUCCAGACCAGGCCUCUCAAAGCCUCGGGCUGUGAUGGCCUCCCUGCCAGAUUUUAUCAGCGUAAUUGGGGGCUGCUGAAAACAGAGGUUGUUGCUACAGUCCAAGAGUUUUUUGUGUCGGGUGUGAUGCUCGAUGGUGUUAAUGACACAGCUAUAGUGCUUAUUCCCAAGGUUCCCCAUCCUCAGGAACUCAAAGAUUUCUGGCCUAUUAGCUUGUGUAAUGUGAUUUAUAAAAUUGUCUCUAAAUGUAUGGUGAACAGACUUCGGCUUCUCCUGACAAAACUUAUCUCUGAAAACCAGAGCGCCUUUAUCCCAGGACGGUUGAUCUCUGACAAUUCGAUAAUUGCUUUCGAAUGUAUCCACCGUAUACAAUCUGUAAGGAACUCUGAUCCUGGGCUGUGUGCUUACAAACUUGACUUGUUGAAGGCCUACGAUCGCGUGGACAAGAAUUUCUUGGAGAGGGCUCUGGCUAAAUGGGUUUCUCUCAGGUUUGGAUCUCCCGUGUUAUGGCGUGUGUUUCAUCGGUGA
RNAcentral lists this ribosomal RNA (582 nucleotides) under Triticum aestivum (bread wheat). RNAcentral describes it as "partial small subunit ribosomal RNA". The record is from RNAcentral. Lineage: Eukaryota; Viridiplantae; Streptophyta; Magnoliopsida; Poales; Poaceae.